RNAcentral lists this ribosomal RNA (190 nucleotides) under uncultured rumen bacterium. Its description in RNAcentral is "partial 16S ribosomal RNA". It matches the Rfam family "Bacterial small subunit ribosomal RNA", at positions 340 to 524 of the family's 1533-position model. The record is from RNAcentral.
UACGGGANGCAGCAGUGAGGAAUAUUGUGUCAAUGGGCGACCCNUUNAACCAGCCAAGCUAGCGUGCAGGAUGACUGCCCUAUGNGUUUGUAAACUGCUUUUAUGCGGGGAUAAAGUGACGUACGCGUACGUUUUUGCAGGUACCGCAUGAAUAAGGACCGGCUAAUUCCGUGCCAGCAGCCGCGGUAAU